RNAcentral lists this ribosomal RNA (220 nucleotides) under uncultured bacterium. RNAcentral describes it as "partial 16S ribosomal RNA". It matches the Rfam family "Bacterial small subunit ribosomal RNA", at positions 1281 to 1500 of the family's 1533-position model. The record is from RNAcentral.
GACCGUCCCAGUUCGGAUCGCAGGCUGCAACCCGCCUGCGUGAAGUUGGAAUCGCUAGUAAUCGCGGAUCAGCAUGCCGCGGUGAAUACGUUCCCGGGCCUUGUACACACCGCCCGUCACACCAUGAGAGUCGGGAACACCCGAAGUCCGUAGCCUAACCGCAAGGGGGGCGCGGCCGAAGGUGGGUUCGAUAAUUGGGGUGAAGUCGUAACAAGGUACC